CCUACGGUGGGCAGCAGUGGGGAAUAUUGCACAAUGGGCGCAAGCCUGAUGCAGCGACGCCGCGUGCGGGAUGGAGGCCUUCGGGUUGUAAACCGCUUUUGUUCAAGGGCAAGGCACGGUCUUUGGCCGUGUUGAGUGGAUUGUUCGAAUAAGCACCGGCUAACUACGUGCCAGCAGCCGCGGGAAUACGUAGGGUGCAAGCGUUAUCCGGAUUUAUUGGGCGUAAAGGGCCCGUAGGCGGUUCGUCGCGUGCGAUGUGAAAGUCCACCGCUUAACGGUGGAUCCGCGGCGGGUACGGGCGGGCUUGAGUGCGGGAGGGGAGACUGGAAGUCCCGGUGUAGCGGUGGAAUGUGUAGAGAUCGGGAAGAACACCAAUGGCGAAGGCAGGUCUCUGGGCCGUUACUGACGCUGAGGAGCGAAAGCGUGGGGAGCGAACAGGAUUAGAUACCCGGGUAGUC
Molecule: ribosomal RNA, 458 nt
Filed under: uncultured bacterium
Lineage: Bacteria
Description: partial 16S ribosomal RNA
Rfam family: Bacterial small subunit ribosomal RNA
Source: RNAcentral